AUACGUAGGUAGCGAGCGUUAUCCGGAAUUAUUGGGCGUAAAGGGUGCGUAGGCGGCUUGCUAAGUUUAAGGUGAAAGAGUGGGGCUCAACCCCAUAGAGCCUUAGAUACUGACAAGCUAGAGUACUGGAGAGGGUAGUGGAAUUCCAUGUGUAGCGGUAAAAUGCGUAGAUAUAUGGAGGAACACCGGUGGCGAAGGCGGCUACCUAGACAGAGACUGACGCUGAUGCACGAAAGCGUGGGGAGCAAAUAGGAUUAGAUACCCUAGUAGUCCACGCUGUAAACGAUGAAUACUAGGUAUCGGGGAAACUCGGUGCCGCAGUUAACACGAUAAGUAUUCCGCCUGUGGAGUAUGCACGCAAGUGUGAA
RNAcentral lists this ribosomal RNA (368 nucleotides) under uncultured bacterium. RNAcentral's name for it is "bacterial SSU rRNA". It matches the Rfam family "Bacterial small subunit ribosomal RNA", at positions 523 to 898 of the family's 1533-position model. The record is from RNAcentral.